CUGAAAUUCAUAUGAAUGAUAACUUUUGUUGUGCUUGUUGAACUUAAGUGCUGAUUAAAUAAAAACAUUGUAAAAAACUUUGUUUUGUCAAACAUCACAUUUGUGUUUGAUAUACGUAUAAAUGAAUGUGUGAUUUGUGUGUCUCUCUAAAUGUAAUGAUUAACACUCUUUUAGGAUCUAUUUGUGUGUGGAAAAAAAGUUAUAGGCCUGAUGGCUAAUUUAAAUUGUUAAUGCCAUUUUUUUUUUAAUCUUUAAGUGUUACUUUGGUGUUAAAUUUGAAAGCAGAAAUAAUAACACUGAUGCUGUGAAGAACCAGAUCUAAUAAGAGGUUUGUGGUUUUAAUGCAGUUGAGACUUGUGAAGAAGAGAUCACUUAUGCCGAGACGACAUUCUACAAAAGAAACGCACAGAAAACGAAAGUCGAAGAGGAUCAUGUGGAAUAUGCACCAAUCAAAAUCAGAAGAUGAUCAAACUUUAAUGUUGUUCUAAGUACUAGACUAUUGUCUGAUCAUUGGGAACCUCCUGCAACGACCUCAGACACUGUGAUCUAUGGAUGAGCAUUUUCACUGCAGCUUUUCAUGUUUGCAAAACAUAGAUGCAAACUAUCCAUCAAAAGGUGAUAAAGUAAACUCUGCUGUGGUACUGAUUAUUUAUAUCUGUACAGAAAUGUGGUUUGAUCUGUGCAUGAGAAUGUGUCUGCUGCUGGAUGCUUGCAUUUGAUGUCAGUUUGUUAGUGUGUCUGAGGUGUCAACAAUACGUCUGUGUGAGCGUGUGAUGGUGAGAGUGUGUGUGUCUGAGGUGUCAAUAGUGUGACGGUGUGAGUGUGUCUGAGGUGUCAGUCUGUGUGAUCAGCAUGUCGUUGCAAGGAUUUUUUCAUUUAUGCUCACAUGAAACCUUUGCCUACUUUACUACAAAAUACUAAAAUCAGUAAAAUGGAUUUAUUUUUAUCAUUUUCAAAUUUUCCUUGAGUUUUUUUCAACCCUCAUUCCGAACCUUUCUCAGAAAAAGCCUGUUUUUAUGGGGCGGGUCCUUUAAGGCUUCUCAGUAAUCGGCCGCUGUUAUUAUUGGUUAACAUCAAACAGUAUCAACGCCCCCUCGCUACUGCAUGUUUUGAGUGUUUUGAUAAAGCGAAUGUUCUUUUACUCAGUUUUCCUGAUUGUCGACAGACUCGAGCGUGUGGACUGUGUCAGAAAGUGAAUGCGCAUCUCUAUACUGUAUCCAGUGUAGACAAGAUGGCAGCAGUGACUGCAAUUUCGGUUUGCUUUUGACGCGAUGUGACACUCACAUUCAGUGUGAUAGCGUUAGUGACUGAAUGCCGGUGGGCGGGGCCUAGGUUGAGGUCUUGCUCUUGGGGCGGUGUUUAUUCAAAUCUUUGUGCCCGGAUGACAUCACCUUUUCCCACUGUAUCCAAAGCGACGUGACAUACAGCCAAGUAUGGUGACCCAUACUCAGAAUUGGUGCUCUGCAUUUAACCCAUCCAAAGUGCACACACACAGCAGUGAACACACACACACCAUAAACACACAUCCGGAGCAGUGGCCAGCUAUUUAUGCUGCAGUGGCCAUCUAUUUAUGCUGCGGCGCCCGGGGAGCAGUUGGGGGUUCAGCUCCUAGCUCAGGGGCACCUCAGUCGUGGUAUUGCCGGCCUGAGACUCGAACCCACAACCUUAGGGUUAGGAGUCAAACUCUCUAACCACUAGGCCACGACUUCCCAGCUUGAUUAGAGCUUGAUUAAAUAAAUGCUUUGUUAAUAAUGAGGAGGAUGUUUAAGCUAUGAAGCUUGCAGGAUGUUUAAAUGGUACAGAUACCUCUUAUAAGAAAAAAGAUCAAGGCAAUUUUGAUUUCUCAUGUCAUGACUCCUUUAGUGCUGAUUUUUGACAAAAGGGUCCCAAUCAAACAGUGAUAUUCAGUGUGAAAAAAAAUCAAAUAUUAUAUACUUUGUGUGCAUGAUGAUCUCAUACAAGUGAUCCGGCAGUACUACACUCUCAGAAAAAAAGGUACAAAAGCGGUCAUGUGCAGUACCUUUUCAAGUACCUUAAAGGUGCCAUGUGUAAAAAUUGAGGUAAAAAUAUCCAAAAAAUGACCUACACGCAUCAAAAGAAUGAGAAGAAAUAAGGGCUAUGAUGUCAUUAAAAAAAUGUCAAGUUAUAGUGCUGCAGAGAUAUCAACCUUAAUUAGCAUUAGCAUUACUAGCCACGGCCCGACAGGUGUCGUAAUACCAGUUUCGGCCAUGGGAGGCGAUAUGCGGGCAACAUAACCACCAGCCAACCUGCAAUACACGAAUAACUCGCACGGCUUGUGGGCGUACUGGAACCUGAUGUCAAGCAACCGCGCUCGGAAUCACAAAUCAAAUCGACUCCGAACUUGCAACAUUUCUUUUGGAUUGGUAAGUAAGAUGCUGUUAGUAUUUCGCUAGAAGUUUGUUUUAUAUGUUUGCGUAUUUUUUUCGGGAAGUUAUAACAUAGAAAUGUAUCGAAGGCUGUUCGAUAAACGUGCUAAUGUUAGCGAUGGCUAACCGUAGCUGCGUUUGAUAGUAAGCUAGCUAUAACUUACCCACAGAUCCGAUCCGGUUUUCACCUGUUAUCUACCAAAGCCCGUCUCUACCAAGCUGAUGCUAAAAUGUAACAUUACCUAAGAAGCUUGAAAUGUCUUCGAUGAUAAUGAACCCGAGAGAGAGAGAGAGAGAGAGAGAGAGAGAGAGAGAGAGAGAGAGAGCGCCCCGGCCACUCACUCACUAUAUUCAGAGCGGUCAAGUUUUUGAAAGCGUGUGAAAAGAGUCAAUUGCGUGUGUCUCACGGUGAAUGCUUGAGAGUUGGCAGCUCUGGUUACGUUGGUUGGCGCUAGCUUGGUCAACAUCAGCUGUCUGAUGUUGACCAAUGAUGUUGACAGAAUGCUGUCUGUCAAAUUAAUUUAAUUCAAAUAAUGUGUAUAUACUAUUCAAAAUGUAAUAUGAACAAAACGAAUAUGAACAUAUUCACUGGUAAAGGUGAAGGGGAGUAGCUUGAAGAUGUCAUGUUUCAAAAUCACUUGACAUCACCCAACGUUCCUCUGGAGGCAAAACGUCCUCUUAGGCUUCGGCUAUGGCUCUAGGGUUGUUGUGAAGGUAGGGGCGGAGCAUAGAGACUAUGCCGUUUCUCGUUUGUUACUCUAGAGUAGACCAAUUCACUUUAUUGAGGCAUACUGCCCCCAUCUGGUAUGGAAUGUGGAGUAUGACUUGAUUUUUUUGCCAGACAUUACACAUGGCUCCUUUAAAGGUGCAUUUAAGUACCUAAAUGGGCAAAAAGGUGAUGCACCAGCUUACCUUUUUUUCUGAGUGUAGUUUCAGUAGUUUCAGUAGUUUCAAAUCAUGCUAAGCAGAAUACAUCAUCUUGAGUGUUUUUUUUGUUUGUUUUUUUUUUUAAUAAAGGUAUAUCCUGCUCUUUCUGCCAGUGUCUGGGUCAUUUAAUGAAUAAAUUCAAUGUAUAAUUUACAAUUUAUGAUUUGUUCUUGAUGGUGGUAAAUCAUUUCAUUUAUUUGCAACAGCUUUGUUGAGAAACUAACAAAGCAGUAU
This is a long non-coding RNA of Cyprinus carpio carpio, 3548 nucleotides long. The record is from Ensembl. NCBI's taxonomy places the organism in Eukaryota, Metazoa, Chordata, Actinopteri, Cypriniformes, Cyprinidae.